Molecule: ribosomal RNA, 510 nt
Filed under: uncultured bacterium
Lineage: Bacteria
Description: partial 16S ribosomal RNA
Rfam family: Bacterial small subunit ribosomal RNA
Source: RNAcentral
GACGAACGCUGGCGGCGUGCUUAACACAUGCCAGUCGAAUGAAGAGCGAUGGAAGCUUGCUUCUAUCAAUCUUAGUGGCGAACGGGUGAGUAACGCGUAAUCAACCUGCCCUUCAGAGGGGGACAACAGUUGGAAACGACUGCUAAUACCGCAUACGAUCCGACCUCGGCAUCGAGGAUGGAUGAAAGGUGGCCUCUAUUUAUAAGCUAUCACUGAAGGAGGGGAUUGCGGCUGAUUAGCUAGUUGGAGGGGUAACGGCCCACCAAGGCAAUGAUCAGUAGCCGGUCUGAGAGGAUGAACGGCCACAUUGGGACUGAGACACGGCCCAGACUCCUACGGGAGGCAGCAGUGGGGAAUCUUCCACAAUGGACGAAAGUCUGACGGAGCAACGCCGCGUGAGUGAUGACGGCCUUCGGGUUGUAAAGCUCUGUUAAUCGGGACGAAAGGUCUUCUUGCGAAUAGUUAGAAGAAUUGACGGUACCGGAAUAGAAAGCCACGGCUAACUACGUG